RNAcentral lists this ribosomal RNA (360 nucleotides) under Triticum aestivum (bread wheat). RNAcentral's name for it is "partial small subunit ribosomal RNA". Lineage: Eukaryota; Viridiplantae; Streptophyta; Magnoliopsida; Poales; Poaceae. The record is from RNAcentral.
AUGGAAGCAAUUGUCAACGCAAGAAAAAAAGCCAACAAGGUGAGGAAGAUGGCAAGGAACCAAGAUGCCGCGGCCGAGGAGAGGAGGUUGGCGGCCGAGGAGAGGAGGGUGACGGCCGAGGACAGGAAAGUGACAUUGGAGGAGAGGAAGGUGGGCAUGGAGGAGCGAUCUAGAUUGUUGGAAUGGGAGAAGCACUUGUUCUUCUUGGACACAUCUAUGCUCAAUGAUGCGCAAAAGGAGUAUGUCAAUCUUGCUUGUGAAGAAGUUCUGAUCCAAAAAAGAGCCAUGAUUCGCGCAAUGGGUGGCGGUGGCCUUGGCGGCAUGGGAGGCGUGGGAGGCAUGGUGGCAUUGGUGGCAUGA